CCGUUCUAAUACCAACACAGGUGUGAUGGCCAUAGAUAGGCUAAGGCUAAAACAUACUCCCGGCAAAGGAACUCGGCAAAAUCAUAGUGUGACUUCGGAGGAAGCUAGACCAAUUUGUUAUUAAUAAAAACUUGGUGUCCAAGAAAAGAGGGCGGCGACUGUUUAACAAAAACACAGGACUUUGCAAAACUGUAAGGUUAUGUAUAAAGUCUGACGCCUGCCCGGUGUUAGUGAAUAAGAAAAAUUUGUGUAUGCAAAUUUUCUAAAUCCUAAUAAACGGUGGCCUUAACUCUAAGGGUCCUAAGGUAGCGAAAUUCCUUGGCAAAUAAUUAUUGUCCUGCACGAAUGGCGUCACGACUGCCCUGCUGUCUCUGCCGGGACGUUGGCGAAUUUGACAUGCCAGUGAAGAGGCUGGCAUCCUAGCAUGGGACAAUAAGACCCCGUGCAUCUUUACUAUAUGUCAUUCUUGUAUAUUUUUUUCAUAUUGUUCAGGAUAGGUGGGAGUAUAACAUAGUUGUUAUUACGAUAGUGAGAUACCACCCUUUAUAAAAAGAAUGUACCUCGUGCAUAAAAAAUAAAUUAUGCAUGAAAAUGGAUGAUUUGGUAGUUUCUCUGGGGCGGAGGCCUCCGAAAAAGUAUCGGGGGCGCACCAAGGUUAUGGCUGUGCCUAUUAUUGGCAUACAGCAAUGGGCAACCCUAAUAACAUAGCCUGACUACUAGGAUUACAAUCCGGGUAGAUACGCAAGUAUGUGGUAGUGAACUUACCAAAAGAUGUGGAAUUUUGGUAAAUCAACGGAUCAAAGAUACGCCGGGGAUAACAGGGUGCGACCAGAUAAAUCAACAUUAACAAUAUGGGUAUAAAACCACGAUGUCGACUCUUCGUAUCCUUCUGCUGUAGUAGGUUGAAAGGGUUGGACUGUUCGUCCAUUAAAACGGAACGUGAGUUGGGUUCAAUACGUCGUGAGACAGUAUGGUUCUUAUCUAUGCUAGGUUUUAGAUUUUGUAAAUGUUCCUUUAGUAUGAAAAGACCUUGGGGACCUAACCUCUGGUGCACGGGUUGUAUAUUUGUAUGCAUUGCCCGGCAGCUACGUUAGCAACUGUAACAGCUGCAAACAAAUCAAGCUGGAACGGUAUUUAUAGACUUAUCUAUUCAAUUGCUCUAGUCUAGAGCAUUGAUCGGCGUCUAGUAUAUUAGUGUAAACUUAUGGCUAGGACGUACGAAU
RNAcentral lists this ribosomal RNA (1223 nucleotides) under Chromochloris zofingiensis. RNAcentral describes it as "LSU rRNA". It matches the Rfam family "Bacterial large subunit ribosomal RNA", at positions 1642 to 2905 of the family's 2925-position model. The record is from RNAcentral. Lineage: Eukaryota; Viridiplantae; Chlorophyta; Chlorophyceae; Sphaeropleales; Chromochloridaceae.